Molecule: long non-coding RNA, 1021 nt
Organism: Hippocampus comes (tiger tail seahorse)
Lineage: Eukaryota; Metazoa; Chordata; Actinopteri; Syngnathiformes; Syngnathidae
Exons: 2
Source: RefSeq, a predicted model, not a curated record
UGGCUGCCUGUCUUUUUGCUUCAGAAUGUUCUGACUACAAGCAGAGAGUCAAUUCAAUCAAAGACUUGAUCAAGAAGUUGCCAAAACCUAACCACGACACAAUGCAAGUCCUCUUCAAACACCUGCGGAGGGUGAUCGACCACGGUGAAGCCAACCGCAUGACCACCCAGAGCGUGGCCAUCGUUUUCGGCCCUACGCUCCUCCGGCCCGAAACGGAGACGGGCAACAUAGCGGUCCACAUGGUCUACCAGAACCAGAUAGUAGAGCUCAUACUGCUGGAGUUCGAAAGCAUCUUUGGCAGGUAGACGCAAAGGGGCUCCAGACUUUUUGCCUCUUCUUUUUUUUUUUUUCUUCUGUUUUUGUUUUUGAUUGAACUCAGUGUUGCCGCGGACCUGGCAGCUGUGAAGGCCAACUCCUCAUUGACACGACCGUUUACACAUGCAUGACAAGGCAUUGCACUUACCAGUUCUGGAGAUGAAUUUCAAGGGGCAACGGGCCCCCUCCACCUUUCCGGCUGCCGUUCCUUUGCAAACGGGCGGCAACCUUACAGUUGACCUCUCGUGAUUUGGUGAAUUUGAGUCUUUCGGGGUUGGGUUUUUUUUUUUUGUUUUAUUUUUUUUUAGGUGCCGCAGUCACUGAAUCCUAUAAAACCUCCUUGUGUUGGGGAGCGUUCAGGGAUGCUGCUCCGGUGGCGUUAAAGGCAGACGCAAACCUCAUGAUGUUGCCUGAAAUGUGUUGGUCUUCUGUGUUGUGGCGCUUCGUCUGUGACGCCAGUUAUGCCAUAAUCAGUGUUGUGUUAAUGGGCUGAUGUUUUCUUUUGUUGUUGUUGUUGUUAUUGUUGUUUCUGUUUUUAUUUUAUCUUAAUUUUUUUUUUUGUUGCACUUGGAUGAACUGGAGCAGUGUUUCACAUUGUGCCCCCAUUUCCCCCACCCGGUACCACUCACCCUUUAAGUGUUAACCCGAUGGAGGGAUAAAACAGUGUUUGUUGUUGGGAGUGAAUUAAAACCUGCACAGAAGCAUC